RNAcentral lists this unclassified non-coding RNA (336 nucleotides) under soil metagenome. RNAcentral's name for it is "partial contains 5.8S ribosomal RNA, internal transcribed spacer 2, and large subunit ribosomal RNA". The stretch from base 1 to 120 matches the Rfam family "5.8S ribosomal RNA", at positions 35 to 154 of the family's 154-position model. The record is from RNAcentral.
GAUGAAGAACGUAGCGAAAUGCGAUAAGUAAUGUGAAUUGCAGAAUUCAGAGAAUCAUCGAAUCUUUGAACGCACAUUGCGCCCGCCAGUAUUCUGGCGGGCAUGCCUGUUCGAGCGUCAUUUCAACCAUCAAGCCCCCGGCUUGUGUUGGGGACCUGCGGCUGCCGCAGGCCCUGAAAAGCAGUGGCGGGCUCGCUGUCACACCGAGCGUAGUAGCAUACAUCUCGCUCUGGGCGUGCUGCGGGUUCCGGCCGUUAAACCACCUUCAUAACCCAAGGUUGACCUCGGAUCAGGUAGGAAGACCCGCUGAACUUAAGCAUAUCAAUAAGCGGAGGA